Non-coding RNA from Delphinapterus leucas (beluga whale), 702 nucleotides. The record is from RefSeq and is a predicted model, not a curated record. Lineage: Eukaryota; Metazoa; Chordata; Mammalia; Artiodactyla; Monodontidae.
CAGAAACGGAAAUCUGAUAUAGAGCUAGUGAGGCAAUGAAGCCCAGCCUUUGAAAACAGACAGACCUGCCAUGGAGUAAGAGGUAGCCCUGAGGCGAACCCUGCCCCCCACGGCCCACUCCCAGAGUGUGGAGACUUCAGGCCAUUCCCACUCAUCCACGGGGCUAGAAGACUGAAUGUGGCAGCCACCCCCAAGCCUGCUGACCGGCUCCAUAGCAGAGUAAUAUCCAAAGAAAGAGGCUUUGAGGUGUGAAGAGGCCAUGCUGGGGAACCCCAUGUGGCAGGGAACUGUGAGCAGCCUCUUGGAGCUGAUGACAUCCUUGACUGACAGCCAGCAAGAAGCUCUCGGUCCUACUAGAGGAAGGAAUUGAAUUCUGCCAACAACUUAAGUGAGCUUAGAAGUGAGUCCUUACCCACACAAGUCCCAGAAUCACACUGGAUCCUGAAACAAAGCCGGGAACACCACUCAUAGCAACUCUCUAGCUGCAAGGAGAUUUGUUUUCAAAGCAACUGACAAGCUACACCUGAUUCAUCCUCAAAACCGACUUGUCAGGGGAAUAACACCAAGUGUCAGAACUUCCCAAGAAAUCUAGUGAUGAAAAGCCCUUUAACAAUGAACAAAUUAAAUUCAGUUCUAACGCCAGGAACAGAAAGAAAGCGAAAUGAAGAGGCACAGAAGAGCAAGCCCAGGUAUGAUUUUAGA